GGAUGUGAGGGUGAUCUGGCUCUGCUCUCUGUCACCCCAUUGAUUGCUAGGGUUGAUGUAGCUGAUCUGGAUGGUUAGUGGGUGUCCCCUCCCUCCCUCACUGCUCCAGUGAGCUUCAGGAGGACUCCAAGCUCCCAGCUUAGUCAAAUAGGAUGGGGCACCCCAAUACAGGAGCACCAUUCCUCAGUCAAAGUUAUAUGGAAA
Molecule: small nuclear RNA, 204 nt
Filed under: Cavia porcellus (domestic guinea pig)
Lineage: Eukaryota; Metazoa; Chordata; Mammalia; Rodentia; Caviidae
Description: 7SK RNA
Rfam family: 7SK RNA
About the family: 7SK was discovered as an abundant small nuclear RNA in the mid-70s but a possible function has only recently been suggested. Two independent studies have found that 7SK RNA binds the CDK9/cyclin T complex (known as elongation factor P-TEFb). P-TEFb activates transcription by phosphorylating the C-terminal domain of RNA polymerase II.
Source: Rfam by way of RNAcentral